RNAcentral lists this ribosomal RNA (253 nucleotides) under uncultured bacterium. Its description in RNAcentral is "partial 16S ribosomal RNA". It matches the Rfam family "Bacterial small subunit ribosomal RNA", at positions 524 to 776 of the family's 1533-position model. The record is from RNAcentral.
UACGUAGGGCGCAAGCGUUGUCCGGAAUUAUUGGGCGUAAAGAGCUCGUAGGCGGCUUGUCGCGUCGACUGUGAAAAUCCGGGGCUCAACCCCGGACUUGCAGUGGGUACGGGCAGACUAGAGUGUGGUAGGGGAGACUGGAAUUCCUGGUGUAGCGGUGAAAUGCGCAGAUAUCAGGAGGAACACCGGUGGCGAAGGCGGAUCUCUGGGCCGAUACUGACGCUGAGGAGCGAAAGCGUGGGGAGCGAACAGG